UUUUAUGGAGAGUUUGAUCCUGGCUCAGGAUGAACGCUGGCGGCGUGCCUAAUACAUGCAAGUCGAGCGAACGGACGAGAAGCUUGCUUCUCUGAUGUUAGCGGCGGACGGGUGAGUAACACGUGGAUAACCUACCUAUAAGACUGGGAUAACUUCGGGAAACCGGAGCUAAUA
RNAcentral lists this ribosomal RNA (174 nucleotides) under Staphylococcus aureus. RNAcentral describes it as "partial 16S ribosomal RNA". It matches the Rfam family "Bacterial small subunit ribosomal RNA", at positions 1 to 168 of the family's 1533-position model. Lineage: Bacteria; Bacillati; Bacillota; Bacilli; Caryophanales; Staphylococcaceae. The record is from RNAcentral.